Molecule: ribosomal RNA, 504 nt
Filed under: Enterococcus faecium
Lineage: Bacteria; Bacillati; Bacillota; Bacilli; Lactobacillales; Enterococcaceae
Description: bacterial SSU rRNA
Rfam family: Bacterial small subunit ribosomal RNA
Source: RNAcentral
GUCGAACGCUUCUUUUUCCACCGGAGCUUGCUCCACCGGAAAAAGAGGAGUGGCGAACGGGUGAGUAACACGUGGGUAACCUGCCCAUCAGAAGGGGAUAACACUUGGAAACAGGUGCUAAUACCGUAUAACAAUCGAAACCGCAUGGUUUUGAUUUGAAAGGCGCUUUCGGGUGUCGCUGAUGGAUGGACCCGCGGUGCAUUAGCUAGUUGGUGAGGUAACGGCUCACCAAGGCCACGAUGCAUAGCCGACCUGAGAGGGUGAUCGGCCACAUUGGGACUGAGACACGGCCCAAACUCCUACGGGAGGCAGCAGUAGGGAAUCUUCGGCAAUGGACGAAAGUCUGACCGAGCAACGCCGCGUGAGUGAAGAAGGUUUUCGGAUCGUAAAACUCUGUUGUUAGAGAAGAACAAGGAUGAGAGUAACUGUUCAUCCCUUGACGGUAUCUAACCAGAAAGCCACGGCUAACUACGUGCCAGCAGCCGCGGUAAAUACGUAGGUGGC